This is a long non-coding RNA of Triticum aestivum (bread wheat), 810 nucleotides long. RefSeq lists it as uncharacterized. NCBI's taxonomy places the organism in Eukaryota, Viridiplantae, Streptophyta, Magnoliopsida, Poales, Poaceae. The record is from RefSeq and is a predicted model, not a curated record. The transcript is spliced from 3 exons.
UUCUAGCACCUGAAAGGACAAAAGUGUCCCCGAUGCUAUCUAAGCUUAUCUAAUGCGAGUGGAGUGGUUGGAUAGGAUUGCUCUCGGGCUAGCUCGUCGCCAUGCCUCACUGCCGCCUGCACAACCCAAUGGAGCUCUCCGCCCUAGCUUGGCCACGCAUGUGCGAGUAACCAUAGCUCCCCGCCGGUGCUCGCCCACGCCUUGCUGAUGCCUGCGCGACCCACCGCGGCUCGUCGCCGGUCCUCGUCCACAUCUGCAGGCGCCGGCGGAGCUCAUCCUCGCCCCUCGGAUGCCUAUGCGGGCCACCGCAGCUCGCGGCAGGUUCUCCCCCAUGCCUGCGCGCGACAGCGCAGCUCUCCACGGGUGCUUGCCGUUUCGUGCGUGCAUUGGUCCUGAGCAAGUGGCUUGAUGGCAGCAGCGACCAGAGGAGGAGAUGGAUGCGCGUGAAGGUCCUGAAGAUGUUGAAUGCAAGCAACAUUGAUGACUUCCAGGCAGAGCCAGGGCGGCGGCCUGGCUUUGUCGAGCAGUAGCUCUGCCACUGAGUCGCUGGAUCUGCCUAUUACUUGCAAGUAGUGGAGCGACCUAACUCAUUCAGAUCCGUAAGCAUCAUUUGUUUCCUUCUUUUUGGUUGUUUGAAUCGUUUCAUUCCACUUUGUUUUCAUUGCAAAGAAAAAUUACCACCAGUUAGAUCAACCCGUGAUGAUAAUAUAUGUUAUUAAUUUAUCUUUGUCAUCCUCGUGUUCUUGUACGAUCAACAUCUACCGCUACAUCAUCUAUUUUUGGAAUGAAGAAAUUUAACUGUUGUAUAUA